ACUGAAGAGAGUAUGUUAAGCAUUGGUGUGAUGGGAGAGGUUCACAUUGGCCUGACCGUACAAGGCCGUACAAGGCCGUACGGUCCGUACACAUUCAGACAAGUGAAACCUUUCAUCCGGGUGAUUCUGAAAUGGAAAGCAACUGUUGAGAAGAGUUGAGUAUACAAGUGUGAAGUACAAAGGGGUUAAGACUGAAGAGAGUGUGUUAAGCAUUGGUGUGAUGGGAGAGGUUCACAGUGGCCUGACCGUACAAGGCCGUACAAGGCCGUACGGUCCGUACACAUUCAGACCAGUGAAACCAUGACCGCGGUUACAAGGAGUUACCCGAGUAACUUAUGGGAAGAGAAGGGGCUUUGGCUGAUGAAUCAGACCGUUGGAGGAUAAGAGAGGCGCGGCUUUAC
RNAcentral lists this long non-coding RNA (401 nucleotides) under Brassica napus (rape). RNAcentral's name for it is "long non-coding RNA (BNAP_LNC013708)". Lineage: Eukaryota; Viridiplantae; Streptophyta; Magnoliopsida; Brassicales; Brassicaceae. The record is from RNAcentral.